This 254-nucleotide ribosomal RNA is filed under the name uncultured bacterium. RNAcentral's name for it is "partial 16S ribosomal RNA". It matches the Rfam family "Bacterial small subunit ribosomal RNA", at positions 524 to 776 of the family's 1533-position model. The record is from RNAcentral.
UACGGGGGGGGGCAAGCGUUGUUCGGAAUUACUGGGCGUAAAGGGCUCGUAGGCGGCCGUGUGUGUGAGGCGUGAAAGCCCGGGGCUUAACCCCGGAAUUGCACCUCAAACUACAUGGCUAGGGCAUUGGAGAGGGUAGCGGAAUUCACGGUGUAGCAGUGAAAUGCGUAGAUAUCGUGAGGAACACCAGAGGCGAAGGCGGCUACCUGGACAAUUGCUGACACUCAGGCACGAAAGCGUGGGGAGCAAAAGGG